This 465-nucleotide ribosomal RNA is filed under the name uncultured bacterium. RNAcentral describes it as "bacterial SSU rRNA". It matches the Rfam family "Bacterial small subunit ribosomal RNA", at positions 330 to 793 of the family's 1533-position model. The record is from RNAcentral.
UCCAGACUCCUACGGGAGGCAGCAGUGAGGAAUAUUGGUCAAUGGGCGGGAGCCUGAACCAGCCAUGCCGCGUGAAGGCGAGUGCCCUACGGGCGUUAAACUUCUUUUGUGCGGGAGCAAUAAGGGCCACGUGUGGCCCGAUGAGAGUACCGCACGAAUAAGCAUCGGCUAACUCCGUGCCAGCAGCCGCGGUAAUACGUAGGGAGCAAGCGUUGUCCGGAAUUACUGGGCGUAAAGGGCGCGUAGGUGGGCGCUUAAGUCAGGUGUGAAAACUCCGGGCUCAACCUGGAGACUGCACUUGAAACUGGGUGUCUUGAGGGCAGGAGAGGAAAGUGGAAUUCCUAGUGUAGCGGUGAAAUGCGUAGAUAUUAGGAGGAACACCAGUGGCGAAGGCGACUUUCUGGACUGUACCUGACGCUGAGGCGCGAAAGCGUGGGUAGCGAACGGGAUUAGAUACCCGAGUAU